CCUACGGACGGCAGCAGUGAGGAAUAUUGGUCAAUGGACGAGAGUCUGAACCAGCCAAGUAGCGUGAAGGAUGACUGCCCUCUGGGUUGUAAACUUCUUUUAUAAAGGAAUAAAACGAGGCACGUGUGCCUUUUUGCAUGUACUUUAUGAAUAAGGACCGGCUAACUCCGUGCCAGCAGCCGCGGUAAUACGGAGGACCCGAGCGUUAUCCGGAUUUAUUGGGGUGAAAGGGAGCGUAGAUGGGUUGUUAAGUCAGUUGUGAAAGUUUGCGGCUCAACCGUAAGAUUGCAAUUGAUACUGGCAGUCUUGAGUGCAGUUGAGGUAGGCGGAAUUCGUGGUGUAGCGGUGAAAUGCUUAGAUAUCACGAAGAACCCCGAUUGCGAAGGCAGCUUGCUAAACUGUGACUGACGUUGAGGCUCGAAAGUGUGGGUAUCAAACAGGAUUAGAUACCCGGGUAGUC
This 460-nucleotide ribosomal RNA is filed under the name uncultured bacterium. RNAcentral's name for it is "partial 16S ribosomal RNA". It matches the Rfam family "Bacterial small subunit ribosomal RNA", at positions 338 to 795 of the family's 1533-position model. The record is from RNAcentral.